Molecule: RNase P RNA, 309 nt
Filed under: Candidatus Cryptobacteroides equifaecalis
Lineage: Bacteria; Pseudomonadati; Bacteroidota; Bacteroidia; Bacteroidales
Description: RNase P RNA component class A
Rfam family: Bacterial RNase P class A
About the family: Ribonuclease P (RNase P) is a ubiquitous endoribonuclease, found in archaea, bacteria and eukarya as well as chloroplasts and mitochondria. Its best characterised activity is the generation of mature 5'-ends of tRNAs by cleaving the 5'-leader elements of precursor-tRNAs. Cellular RNase Ps are ribonucleoproteins.
Source: RNAcentral
CAGGUGGGACGAUCUGUCGCUCAUAUGAGAGGAAAGUCCGGACAGGAAAGGGCAUCCCGCUGCGGAAAGCGCAGGUGGAGGUAACUUUACGAAAACCGUAACAGAAAACAACCGGCCGAAAGGCCAAGGGUGAAAACGCGAGGCAAGAGCUCACGAUGUCCUGCAGCGAUGCAGGGCAGGUACGGCACCGGGACCUGCAAAACCAAAUAUACUGACAGAUGAGGACGGCCCGUCCGAUGUCAGGGGGUAGGUUGCGAAGAUAAAUGACAGAUUUAAAAACAGAAACCGGCUUACGGCCCCACCUUAACU